ACCCGUCUAGCCUGGAGCGCUGGCCUUUUAAGCCAGUGGUCGUGGGUUCGAGCCCCACGGGGGGUG
RNAcentral lists this transfer RNA (66 nucleotides) under Phytophthora infestans (potato late blight agent). RNAcentral describes it as "tRNA-Lys". It matches the Rfam family "tRNA". Rfam says of the family: Transfer RNA (tRNA) molecules are approximately 80 nucleotides in length. Their secondary structure includes four short double-helical elements and three loops (D, anti-codon, and T loops). The record is from RNAcentral. Lineage: Eukaryota; Oomycota; Peronosporomycetes; Peronosporales; Peronosporaceae.